AACCAUUCUCACCUGCGGCUAGACCUGCGGAGGGAUCAUUAACAUGUCGGGGCGGUCCUCGCGGCCGCCCGUCUGGCACCCUUGUCUACCCGACCUCCGUUGCCUCGGCGGGCCCGCCGGGGGCUCGAUCGCACCCGCGAUCGCUGGCCCCGGCCGCCCGGGCGUGACGUCCGGGCCCGCGCCCGCCGGAGGGAAGUCCGAACCACUGCGAAGUAGUGCGGUCGUCUGAGCGUCGUGACG
This 240-nucleotide unclassified non-coding RNA is filed under the name soil metagenome. Its description in RNAcentral is "partial contains 5.8S ribosomal RNA, internal transcribed spacer 2, and large subunit ribosomal RNA". The record is from RNAcentral.